Molecule: ribosomal RNA, 496 nt
Filed under: uncultured bacterium
Lineage: Bacteria
Description: partial 16S ribosomal RNA
Rfam family: Bacterial small subunit ribosomal RNA
Source: RNAcentral
GAUGAACGCUGGCGGCGUGCCUAAUACAUGCAAGUCGAGCGAACAGACGCGGAGCUUGCUCCUCUGACGUUAGCGGCGGACGGGUGAGUAACACGUGGAUAACCUACCUAUAAGACUGGGAUAACUUCGGGAAACCGGAGCUAAUACCGGAUAAUAUAUUGAACCGCAUGGUUCAAUAGUGAAAGACGGUUUUGCUGUCACUUAUAGAUGGAUCCGCGCCGCAUUAGCUAGUUGGUAAGGUAACGGCUUACCAAGGCAACGAUGCGUAGCCGACCUGAGAGGGUGAUCGGCCACACAAGAUCUGACACACGGACCAGACUCCUACGGGAGGCAACAGUAGGGAAUCUGCCGAAUGGGCGAAAGCCUGACGGAGAAACGCCGCGUGGGUGAUGAAGGUCUUCGGAUCGUAAAACUCUGUUAUUAGGGAAGAACAAAUGUGUAAGUAACUAUGCACGUCUUGACGGUACCUAAUCAGAAAGCCACGGCUAACUACGUG